GCGGGAAUAACUCAGUUGGUAGAGUGUAACCUUGCCAAGGUUAAUGUCGCGAGUUCGAGCCUCGUUUCCCGCUCCA
RNAcentral lists this transfer RNA (76 nucleotides) under Fusobacterium sp. RNAcentral's name for it is "tRNA-Gly". It matches the Rfam family "tRNA". Rfam says of the family: Transfer RNA (tRNA) molecules are approximately 80 nucleotides in length. Their secondary structure includes four short double-helical elements and three loops (D, anti-codon, and T loops). RNAcentral also lists the same sequence under 2 other names. The record is from RNAcentral. Lineage: Bacteria; Fusobacteriati; Fusobacteriota; Fusobacteriia; Fusobacteriales; Fusobacteriaceae.